RNAcentral lists this ribosomal RNA (1636 nucleotides) under Salmonella enterica subsp. enterica serovar Mbandaka. RNAcentral's name for it is "partial 23S ribosomal RNA". It matches the Rfam family "Bacterial large subunit ribosomal RNA", at positions 530 to 2147 of the family's 2925-position model. Lineage: Bacteria; Pseudomonadati; Pseudomonadota; Gammaproteobacteria; Enterobacterales; Enterobacteriaceae. The record is from RNAcentral.
CGAGGGGAGUGAAAAAGAACCUGAAACCGUGUACGUACAAGCAGUGGGAGCACAGGUUUACCUGUGUGACUGCGUACCUUUUGUAUAAUGGGUCAGCGACUUAUAUUCUGUAGCAAGGUUAACCGAAUAGGGGAGCCGGAGGGAAACCGAGUCUUAACCGGGCGUUAAGUUGCAGGGUAUAGACCCGAAACCCGGUGAUCUAGCCAUGGGCAGGUUGAAGGUUGGGUAACACUAACUGGAGGACCGAACCGACUAAUGUUGAAAAAUUAGCGGAUGACCUGUGGCUGGGGGUGAAAGGCCAAUCAAACCGGGAGAUAGCUGGUUCUCCCCGAAAGCUAUUUAGGUAGCGCCUCGUGAAUUCAUCUCCGGGGGUAGAGCACUGUUUCGGCUAGGGGGCCAUCCCGGCUUACCAACCCGAUGCAAACUGCGAAUACCGGAGAAUGUUAUCACGGGAGACACACGGCGGGUGCUAACGUCCGUCGUGAAGAGGGAAACAACCCAGACCGCCAGCUAAGGUCCCAAAGUCAUGGUUAAGUGGGAAACGAUGUGGGAAGGCCCAGACAGCCAGGAUGUUGGCUUAGAAGCAGCCAUCAUUUAAAGAAAGCGUAAUAGCUCACUGGUCGAGUCGGCCUGCGCGGAAGAUGUAACGGGGCUAAACCAUGCACCGAAGCUGCGGCAGCGACGCUGAUGCGUUGUUGGGUAGGGGAGCGUUCUGUAAGCCUGCGAAGGUGGCCUGUGAGGGUUGCUGGAGGUAUCAGAAGUGCGAAUGCUGACAUAAGUAACGAUAAAGCGGGUGAAAAGCCCGCUCGCCGGAAGACCAAGGGUUCCUGUCCAACGUUAAUCGGGGCAGGGUGAGUCGACCCCUAAGGCGAGGCCGAAAGGCGUAGUCGAUGGGAAACGGGUUAAUAUUCCCGUACUUGGUGUUACUGCGAAGGGGGGACGGAGAAGGCUAUGUUGGCCGGGCGACGGUUGUCCCGGUUUAAGCGUGUAGGUGUGUGUUCCAGGUAAAUCCGGUUCACUUUAACACUGAGGCGUGACGACGAGGCACUACGGUGCUGAAGCAACAAAUGCCCUGCUUCCAGGAAAAGCCUCUAAGCAUCAGGUAACAUCAAAUCGUACCCCAAACCGACACAGGUGGUCAGGUAGAGAAUACCAAGGCGCUUGAGAGAACUCGGGUGAAGGAACUAGGCAAAAUGGUGCCGUAACUUCGGGAGAAGGCACGCUGACACGUAGGUGAAGUGAUUUACUCAUGGAGCUGAAGUCAGUCGAAGAUACCAGCUGGCUGCAACUGUUUAUUAAAAACACAGCACUGUGCAAACACGAAAGUGGACGUAUACGGUGUGACGCCUGCCCGGUGCCGGAAGGUUAAUUGAUGGGGUCAGCGCAAGCGAAGCUCCUGAUCGAAGCCCCGGUAAACGGCGGCCGUAACUAUAACGGUCCUAAGGUAGCGAAAUUCCUUGUCGGGUAAGUUCCGACCUGCACGAAUGGCGUAAUGAUGGCCAGGCUGUCUCCACCCGAGACUCAGUGAAAUUGAACUCGCUGUGAAGAUGCAGUGUACCCGCGGCAAGACGGAAAGACCCCGUGAACCUUUACUAUAGCUUGACACUGAACAUUGAGCCUUGAUGUGUAGGAUAGG